Molecule: ribosomal RNA, 630 nt
Filed under: Leifsonia sp. Se2Pt_1478
Lineage: Bacteria; Bacillati; Actinomycetota; Actinomycetes; Micrococcales; Microbacteriaceae
Description: bacterial SSU rRNA
Rfam family: Bacterial small subunit ribosomal RNA
Source: RNAcentral
AGCAACGCCGCGUGAGGGACGACGGCCUUCGGGUUGUAAACCUCUUUUAGCAGGGAAGAAGCGCAAGUGACGGUACCUGCAGAAAAAGCACCGGCUAACUACGUGCCAGCAGCCGCGGUAAUACGUAGGGUGCAAGCGUUGUCCGGAAUUAUUGGGCGUAAAGAGCUCGUAGGCGGUUUGUCGCGUCUGCUGUGAAAUCCCGAGGCUCAACCUCGGGCCUGCAGUGGGUACGGGCAGACUAGAGUGCGGUAGGGGAGAUUGGAAUUCCUGGUGUAGCGGUGGAAUGCGCAGAUAUCAGGAGGAACACCGAUGGCGAAGGCAGAUCUCUGGGCCGUAACUGACGCUGAGGAGCGAAAGCGUGGGGAGCGAACAGGAUUAGAUACCCUGGUAGUCCACGCCGUAAACGUUGGGAACUAGAUGUGGGGACCAUUCCACGGUCUCCGUGUCGCAGCUAACGCAUUAAGUUCCCCGCCUGGGGAGUACGGCCGCAAGGCUAAAACUCAAAGGAAUUGACGGGGGCCCGCACAAGCGGCGGAGCAUGCGGAUUAAUUCGAUGCAACGCGAAGAACCUUACCAAGGCUUGACAUAUACGAGAACGGGCCAGAAAUGGUCAACUCUUUGGACACUCGU